Molecule: ribosomal RNA, 497 nt
Filed under: uncultured bacterium
Lineage: Bacteria
Description: partial 16S ribosomal RNA
Rfam family: Bacterial small subunit ribosomal RNA
Source: RNAcentral
GAUGAACGCUGGCGGCGUGCCUAAUACAUGCAAGUCGAGCGAACGGACGAGAAGCUUGCUUCUCUGCUGUUAGCGGCGGACGGGUGAGUAACACGUGGAUAACCUACCUAUAAGACUGGGAUAACUUCGGGAAACCGGAGCUAAUACCGGAUAAUAUUUUGAACCGCAUGGUUCAAAAGUGAAAGACGGUCUUGCUGUCACUUAUAGAUGGAUCCGCGCUGCAUUAGCUAGUUGGUAAGGUAACGGCUUACCAAGGCAACGAUGCAUAGCCGACCUGAGAGGGUGAUCGGCCACACUGGAACUGAGACACGGUCCAGACUCCUACGGGAGGCAGCAGUAGGGAAUAUUCCGCAAUGGGCGAAAGCCUGACGGAGCAACGCCGCGUGAGUGAUGAAGGUCUUCGGAUCGUAAAACUCUGUUAUUAGGGAAGAACAUAUGUGUAAGUAACUGUGCACAUCUUGACGUUACCUAAUCAGAAAGCCACGGCUAACUACGUG